Molecule: unclassified non-coding RNA, 154 nt
Filed under: soil metagenome
Description: partial internal transcribed spacer 1
Source: RNAcentral
CAGAGUUAUCCAACUCCCAAACCCAUGUGGACUUAUCUCUUUGUUGCCUCGGCGCAAGCUACCCGGGACCUCGCGCCCCGGGCGGCCCGCCGGCGGACAAACCAAAACUCUUGUUAUCUUAGUUGAUUAUCUGAGUGUCUUAUUUAAUAAGUCA